Molecule: ribosomal RNA, 447 nt
Filed under: uncultured bacterium
Lineage: Bacteria
Description: bacterial SSU rRNA
Rfam family: Bacterial small subunit ribosomal RNA
Source: RNAcentral
UGGGGAAUAUUGGACAAUGGGCGCAAGCCUGACCCAGCAACGCCGCGUGAAGGAUGAAGUAUUUCGGUAUGUAAACUUCGAAAGAAUAGGAAGAAUAAAUGACGGUACUAUUUAUAAGGUCCGGCUAACUACGUGCCAGCAGCCGCGGUAAUACGUAGGGUGCGAGCGUUAAUCGGAAUUACUGGGCGUAAAGGGUGCGCAGGCGGUUUUGUAAGUCAGAUGUGAAAUCCCCGGGCUUAACCUGGGAACUGCGUUUGAAACUACAAGACUGGAGUGUGGCAGAGGGGGGUGGAAUUCCAUGUGUAGCAGUGAAAUGCGUAGAGAUAUGGAAGAACAUCGAUGGCGAAGGCAGCCCCCUGGGUUAACACUGACACUGAGGUGCGAAAGCGUGGGGAGCAAACAGGAUUAGAUACCCACGUAGUCCCUGAGCGGGCUGGCAAGGCGCAU